This 324-nucleotide ribosomal RNA is filed under the name uncultured eukaryote. Its description in RNAcentral is "partial 18S ribosomal RNA". It matches the Rfam family "Eukaryotic small subunit ribosomal RNA", at positions 1470 to 1796 of the family's 1831-position model. The record is from RNAcentral.
CCCUUAGAUGUUCUGGGCUGCACGCGCGCUACACUGAAGCUAUCAACACGUUUUCCCUCCCUGAGAAGGGCGGGUAACCUUUUGGAUCAGCUUCGUGGUAGGGAUCGGGGCUUGCAAUUGUUCCCCGUGAACCAGGAAUUCCUAGUAGACGCGAGUCAUAAGCUCGCAUCGAUUAAGUCCCUGCCCUUUGUACACACCGCCCGUCGCUACUACCGAUUGAACGUUUUAGUGAGGCAUUUGGACCGACGCAUCUCAGUUUAACCGCUGGUUUGUGUUGGAAAGACUUCCAAACUUGAGCGUUUAGAGGAAGUAAAAGUCGUAACA